Molecule: ribosomal RNA, 177 nt
Filed under: [Amauroascus] volatilis-patellis
Lineage: Eukaryota; Fungi; Ascomycota; Eurotiomycetes; Onygenales; Neogymnomycetaceae
Description: Amauroascus volatilis-patellis 5.8S ribosomal RNA
Rfam family: 5.8S ribosomal RNA (bases 2-155)
About the family: 5.8S ribosomal RNA (5.8S rRNA) is a component of the large subunit of the eukaryotic ribosome.
Source: RNAcentral
AAACUUUCAACAACGGAUCUCUUGGUUCCGACAUCGAUGAAGAACGCAGCGAAAUGCGAUAAGUAAUGUGAAUUGCAGAAUUCCGUGAAUCAUCGAAUCUUUGAACGCACAUUGCGCCCUCUGGUAUUCCGGGGGGCAUGCCUGUCCGAGCGUCAUUGCAACCCUCAAGCGCGGCUU